AUUGCUUCUUAGUCUUACAGUUGACUAAGAUCAACUGUAGUUUAUCUGUUCUUAUCAGUUGAAUAUAUGAUACUUUUUCUAAUCAAGAACCAGUUAUUAAAUGGAAUUUUAGAGCAGGCAGGUGGAGCAUGAGCUUGCUAUAACCACUCCACUCACAGGCCUGAUAUUGCAGUAUUUCCAGGGACGUUAAGUCCUU
RNAcentral lists this small nuclear RNA (196 nucleotides) under Castor canadensis (American beaver). RNAcentral describes it as "U2 spliceosomal RNA (ENSCCNG00000019214.1)". It matches the Rfam family "U2 spliceosomal RNA". Rfam says of the family: U2 is a small nuclear RNA (snRNA) component of the spliceosome (involved in pre-mRNA splicing). Complementary binding between U2 snRNA (in an area lying towards the 5' end but 3' to hairpin I) and the branchpoint sequence (BPS) of the intron results the bulging out of an unpaired adenosine, on the BPS, which initiates a nucleophilic attack at the intronic 5' splice site, thus starting the first of two transesterification reactions that mediate splicing. The record is from RNAcentral. Lineage: Eukaryota; Metazoa; Chordata; Mammalia; Rodentia; Castoridae.